CUCCCAUCAACAACCAAUGUCCCUAAGGAAGCCGCGUCCGGGGUACCCGCUGUCCACACCAAACCCCUCACGUUCCACGCCCGGGUCACGCUGUUUUAACUCCUGCUGGAGUCGCCACGGCUGCUCUGCAUGCCAGCGGUCAGUCCACAACAACCCUCUGUCUGUCCCAUGGAUUCAGCUCCGGAGCAGCCACGGAGCUAUGCAUGGUGCGUACAGGAAACAGCCUACAACUCCAUGUCAAGUCUGCUAAAGAAAAUUUUCUAAAUACAAGCCCCUGGAUCCUGACUUCUCCCAAACACGUUCUCCAAACAGCUCCUGCAGUUUUCCCCCUCGGAGUAACAGAUCCUUCAACCGUGCAAUUUUUUUUAAUUCAACAUCAUUUGCAGCAUGCCGACAAGAUCUAGAAUCUAUUUGUACGCCAAAGGAGAAUUUUCCUCGUGCUUCUGUUAAGCCGUGUUUCGUUUUCACAUUCAUCUUGCACACUGGAUUUAAUCUACCAUUGACAAAUGCUCAGCCAGCUGCCCUAAGCCCCAUGGCUGCCCGCUUGUCUGCCAGCUCACCCGGAGCCUCCCGGCUGGGGUCCGGCAGCAGAGCCCCAGCAAGAGUGGGCUCCGCAUCCUCAUUAGUGGAGCGAUGCUUUUAGGGAAAAUCAAUGGGAUUCUGAGUGCCAGUCACCAUUCACAGCUGUCUGAUUAGAGUCCCAUCACAGAAGCAUCCCGCACAGAGAUAAGUGUGCUGCCUGCAAUUACAGAGAUGUGCCCCAGGGGUAAAUUCGAUCCCGGGAGAGGAAGGGAUCCAUCUCUUCUUCAAACUGCCUGCAAGCCAGAAAGAGUGAGGGGAACUCAUCGCUCAAACAUGAAAGGAAACACAUGCACAGUGCAAACAUACCCUGCAGUUCACCCCCAGGAUGAGGCUGGGAGGACAAGCUAAGCUUCCCAAGACUUUUUGCUGUUGUGCUUAUAAAAAUGGGGAUUUAUUGAGCACAAUGAUUACAGUGGCGCUUGGACAGCUACUGAGGAAACAGACACUGUGGUGAGCAGAUGUUAUUCUCGACCAUGCUGGACUCAUUUAUCAACCCCAACGUGCCACCUGCCUCAAACUCCUGAAGGUCAGAGGUAAAAAGCUGAAAUCAUGUAUGGAUUGAGAGAGCCAGUGGAUCCACUACAGACAGAUAACAGACAACCCAGGGCAUGGCUGGCAAACAAAUGAAUAAUGAAUUGAAUUCCAGCCCAACUGUUGCAUUGGACUGACUGCACUGAAGAGCCCACCUGUUCACCACUGAAGUAGUCAGCUCUGCCUGAAUUAACACACCUACAAGCAGGAGGAACCUCAGGAGAGGGAAGACUCAGGGCUGGAGCAGGGAUGGGCCCCAUCAGCAGCCACUCCACUCCCUGAUCCCACAGCAGGGCCUCUCUCCAGGGAAGCCAGCUGGCCAGCACAGCUCCACACCAAGGCACAGGAAGGGCAGCUCUCCAUCAAAUUCCAGAUAAUGCUGCAGUGCUGAUAACUACAGAGUUAUUUCAGGCCUUUACAUCAGCACAGGUCUUUUAGCCACUACUUUAUACAGGCCCCCAAAAGAGUGAUCUCAGAAUCAGAAACACACAGUAUUGUGUGCUUGGUCUGAGACUCUGCUGCUCUGCUUAUUUGACUCCUGAGGUUCCCCAAUAUAGUCAAUAAUAGUCUGGGUGGCAAGUUACACCACCAAGAAUUCAGAUCCAUUGGCAUCUGCUGCUGCUUUGUCAUGUCAUGAAGUACUUCCUGUAGGUGCCAAGGGCUGUCAGCAAGCCCUUCUCCUGCCUCUCUCUGACUGCCAGGUCAGUAAAGAAUUAGUUCCCAGGAUGCCACACAGCCUUUCCCAAUACAGACAAUACUUUUUUUUUUUUUUAAAGAGGUCAACAAAAAGUUACUUCAAAGAACUCAAAGCAUCUGUUCUUUAAUACCUGGGUAUUACACACCUAAAUAUGCUCCCAUAAAAGGUUAAGAAAGCUGCACAAUCCAGAAGCAGCUGAUCCAGCACAAAGUGACCAGAGUGAAUCUCAGCCUCGGGCUACCCUGACAGCCUGCACAAACUGUGGUGGGGAGAGGCAAACCCUUUCCUCCACUCUGCAUCAUGCCACAAGCAGCAGAGAUGUGAUGGCUGCUGCACAAACCUUUAUCCCCUGUCUCUUGCAGGGAAGCAUCAAUGGGCUGAGCAGCACAUCCCCACGGAGUUGUUUUGCUCUGCUGGCCUCCUGCUGGACCUUCCACACCUGGCAGCUUGGGAACCAAAUGGAAAUGCUGGAGAGAGCUCCUACCCCAGCUGUGUCACCAGCUUGCUUCAUGCUGUUUCAACAUGCUCAUCUCCACCACUGGUGACAAAGCUUGGCCCUUUCACUUUGAAGUCUCUGCCUAGGAUGUUUUUCUUGGAGGAGGGAAGGGAGAUGGAAGAAAAGACUUCUAAGUCUCACCAUGAAGAAAAGGAUUUGUAAGAGAAUUCAACCAGGUUUUUUUGAACACUUGCUUAGAUUGUCUUUUGGAUUCAUAAACAAAGACAUGAAGACGCGCUUGCAUACUUUAAGUAUGCAAAUUUAAUAUAUUUCUGAAAACAAGAGAACGCUUCAGACUACAUACUGGGAAACUUGAGGCAAGCACUGAUGCCCCACAUCACUGCCUGUCUGACCAGCAAUAGUCAGACAGAGAGCAGUUCUAAUUCCUCAGGACAUGAAAUAUCCACCACAACUGAACUAGGCACGAAAGACCGAGCAAGCACUAAAGUUAGAUGACAUUUGCUAAUUUAGUUUUCAAGUUGAGUACAUAUUUUGGGUCAGCACAACAGUAACAAAACUCCUGGUAGACAGAGAAACGUGAAGUUAACUUAUGAAAUGCUGACUGCUGUAUUCCACCUGCACUCGAACACAACCACAUCCAGUCUGGAAGAGUCCAUCUCCUUCUACCAUUCCAGCAAAACAUUUCAUGUUCCAAGGCAGGGAUCACAUCUGCACUGGCAGCAUGAGUACAUCUCCCCAGCCCAACAACCCUAGCACAGACACAGAUCAUGAGUUGUUCUGUACAACACAAUUUGCAAAACCAUCACCAGCAACAAGAAGGCAGUAACAGCAGCACAACUGGUUUUACUGGCCUGACUACAAGCUGUGGUCUAACAGCUGAACAGGGGAAGACGUGAAAUAGUUAUUCCUGGGUUCUUUCUCUAGAUCCAUGAGAUACCAUCCCUAUACCACAGAUACCACCUUCAAAAUCCCCACACAAUUUUGGGUGCUGGGCCGUUGAUUUGCCAUUCAAUACAGCAAUGCCUCGAGAGAGCAUCUGCUUGGUUUGGAUAUAGAAGUUUUUACACUGGAACAUGGAUCACAAUCUCUUGAAGUAGCUACCUGGAAGUAGCUACUUUAGAAACUACCACCAGUUUCUAAAUCUGUGAAGUUUAAUGUGUGAGUUUUUCUUUACCAAACAAUCUUAUAGUGGCUUUCUUUUGUGUUUUGAGAUACUGAUGAGAGGCCAGAUAUCUAUUUUUGAUUUAGAAAAAUGGAAAAAAGAGCUACAGAAACCAUUCAGAUGGUUUUUUUCUGCCCCACUAUACAGGUGAUCAGUUAUUCUGCCCAAAACAAGGAGUUACACUAAGCAAUACCAGAUCAAAGAAAGACUACUUAUAGCUGAGAACAGUCAUGGUGGGUCAGGAACAUCCCAGGCACUCUGUCCUUCCUUAGCAGGGAUGCCACAUCCUGUAUACUGGAGAGUAUCAGCACUGAGGGGCUCCUAGCAUCACUGCAUGCAAAUCAGAGUAGCAGCACACUGAGCAGACCUGACAGGAUUUAAACCACACAAUGCUUUUCAUCUCUGUAUCUCUUUUCCCAGUCUCUCCUACUAUGUCAUGCUUGAAGACCUUUUCUCUUGGCAAUACAUCCAGAGAUGUCUGUCUCCUUCUGAGGACAGCUCAUGACAACAGCCUUCUCUACGGGCAGUGAAUCCCAGGUUGCUCAUGUUGUCUGUACUGUGGCACUACCUCAAAGGAAAAUCCAGAAGGUACUGACUGCCCUGUGCUUCUCCACACAGACAGGUUCCCAAAGCUCCACUACUUGUGGUCUCCCCUCAGUCCUUGUCUCUGUCCAACAUCAUCUUGCAAAUUUAUUUUCCCUAGGCCUCCAUACCAACACGACUCUGAGCUCCUCUGACCCUUGCAGGCCAACUGAAUCACCUUUCCUCACUGUCAUGACAGCCAGUAGUAUCCCAGCAGUCCUCACACUACAGUCCCAUCCAUCUGAGCUUCCAACAAACACCUCACUUACACAACACAAGGAGCAACACAACUUCCCACUGUUCCCUCCAGUCUCUGAGAUUGGAGAGAGGGAGAACUGCAAUCAGCCCAUCUCAUUAACCCCCCGCUGCUCCAAUGCAACAGAGCUCAGAGCACAGCUCAGCACUUCAAAACUACUGCUUGUAAAAAACUAUAAUGAAAUCUGUGAAUUAAGGUUCACUGCUCACACCAAAAUUCUGGGGACCAGUUUACUUGAUGCCAACUCACAGAGCUUAUAAUGGUGCAGCACUGUGGGACAGUGAUCAAGGAGAGUAAAGCCUAUGUGACAAGUGACAGGCUGCCAGGGUCCACUGCUGGACUGGAAGCAGGUGAACUAAAACACCCAAUGAAACCACCAAGCAAAAAUCUGGUUAUUAAAAGUUCUCCUUCAUUUACAAACCUGGGAACAAAUGAACAACUUAGUAAAUAUCUAGGUGAAAUAAAUCCCAGAAGGACUGGGAUUUAAAGUAAUUUAAAUGUUGGGAGGUAAUUUAAAAGUUGUCAGAAAUGAUCAAUACAUAGAUGUAUUUUUACUCCUACUGUUAGGACACAAGGGUAGAUUUCCUGUGCAAAAGCAAAAAAUCCCAAGAACUACUUUCUGGAUCCAGAAAAAAAAGCCAACAAAAACCCCUCAGUUGUCUCUUGAUCUCAGAGCUACAGAUCUGGUAUAACACAUGAGUAAUUAAAAGCAAUUUAAGGAAAUGUACCACAGAGCAAGAAGUUAACACUACAAAAACUCCACAAAGACAAACAGAGUGAUGCUUAAAACAACAUGAUCACUGUGAAAUGUGGUCAUCCACUUGCAGGAGAGCUGACAAAUAUGUCCUAAGUGAAAGAGCUGGAGCAAAUCAGCCCUCAGCCACACUGCUCCCUGCCCUGCCUCUGCUCAGGGGAACUGAAGGGAUGGGUUCCAAAGAAUAACUAAUUCGCCCUCUUUUGCAAAGAUUCUGAACUGGUCCUUGAAUUGUUGCACGCGAUGAGAAGAAGAGCAGCCACUGGGCUCUGUCCAAAGGACACAGAGGGAAUUACACGUUGCAGAGUCACCACUGUAGAGCACAGGUGGCUCUUCUACCUCGAGCGAGGUCAAAACACCAGACAGCACAGCAGGUAAAUCACCACGGACAUAAACGCCAGUUGUGCUCCAUCCCCAGGGAAGCAGCACUCAUGGUAAUAGAACAGGAGGCUUGGCAGUUGAAAGCAGAGCCCCAGCUUAUUUCACGCUUCCACAUCUCAAUUACCCCAAACACUGCUGAAAACCAGGAGCGUUGUUUCAGAAAGGUGGUCCUGUUUAUGCAGCACCUGACAGGUAUGGAUACCUGCACGGCAGCACUCAGUGCUUAGUGUCUUCAUAUGAAACAACAUCAAAAUGAAACACCUGCACUACCAACUGCUAUUACCUUUGGUUCUUCACCCCAAAGCAGUUAUAUAUCUUAGUCACAAACACUGCCACUAUUCCAUACAUUUCUAUUGCCUCCAGCUGAGCACUUACAGCCAGUUUCUCAGCCAAUAACAAAAAAUUAAUGUAGCUCUGUGACCAACGAUGAGAUCAUGCCUCAGCAUCAGCUUAGGAUCAGGACCACCACAUCCUUGUAGCUUUGGUGACCAGCUGCAUCUCAGAAGUUCAAGGCAUAAUGAAGCAUCAGACAACGAGUGCUCCUACAGAAAAGCAACUAGAAUAUGUCAGAGAAAGGAAAAAAGCCAUUGCAUUGCCCUGCUUUGUUUAUCAUAGGAAAACUGAAAGCCUUUCUUAUGGCAGCUAAUAAAUUGCUAGCACAGCACAAUGUGCCUUAUUAAAAGACCAGGUUGGUUCACCUAAUAACAUUGCUUUCCCCUCCAUUACAGGCAAAAGGCUGCUACAGUGCACAGAGCAAGUGAGAAAUCACACUGGUAAUUUGCCUUUAGGCAGAACCUUAUCAGCCGGAGCACCUCAAAGCUUCCAGCACAGAAGCACUGACCCCAACUUCAUCUCUAACACCAACAGGAAUAGAAAAGCUCAGCAUAUUCUAAUACUGAAAUAGAAGUGCUUCCGAGGUUUAGACAGCAUGUGAUAAAAAACAAGGCAAGCACACAACCUAGCAGAAAAUCACCAACAGUCCUCUUUGCUCUCUUAGGACUCACAAAGACUAGAAAGAACUGUGAGGAUGCUCAAAUAUCCAGAUAUUCCCCUUGAUCACUAGUUCCCAAGCUUCUGAACAUCUGCACUUCCAGAUUACACCAUUCAAUACACCCUUUUAUGAGCAACAGCAAUCCUGUGAUGACAGGCUGCAUGGACAGCCUCAUGAGGAGGGCACCAAAUAGAUGCAGAAACAGCCAAGUCCACCAGCUGCUGGAAUGUGAAAAAAGCUGGGGAUCAAUCUGGGAGGCUGAGCAGCCACUGUGGUGAGGAGUAGGCAGCAGCUGACUUGAACGGGGGAGUUAUUAGGUGCUGGCAUCUCUUGCUAGAUCACAGUUAAUGAGGCUUAGUUCUUGCCUUGUUUGGGAAGAAAGGAAGACAUGCAGUCAAGAAUGCAAUAGCAUUUUCAGUAGCCACAGCCUUUGUAAAACUCUGGAAACACCUUAACCUAAAGCUUUCACAGCACCUCCCAGCCCUGCACAGACAGACUGCUCAGCUUGUACCACACACUCCUACACCCUUGAGAAGAGUCCCCAGGCAUCCUACUCAUACCCUUUCUGACCCAUUCAGGAGAAAGCCCUGAGGAAGACCCCUAAAGCUGUCAUCAUCGAGAUCUGGAGCAACAGCUGAUGCAUCACUUUACUGAGCUCUCACGAGAGAAUAAAACAUCUGUUUUCGUCCCUCAGACUGAAAACAGACGCCUUUUUAGUUGUGUCCAACAGAUACUCAAUUAUAUGACAACACAGGGAAGCACAAUGCAUCUAAAUGAGGGCACACCCUUGGGCCACAUGGGUGCCUGGCAUGUGGUCAGGAACCCAAAGAGGUUUUGCAGUCUCAGGCAAGCUACUCAUCCACAGGCAUCUGGGGUCCGAGACACCUGCACACGGACAAGGGUAGAUUUCUUGCCUUGGCACUUGGAGGCUGCAAUGUCUGCAGAACUGCUCUGGAGCAAACACCACAUGCACCAAGCCCAGCAGCUCAGCUGGGUAAUUGUGGCUUUUCUAACAAGCUGUCUGGAAAACCUAAUUCCAUACAAAAAACACUCCUCAUCAUCCUACUCACCUGAUAUUCCAGAUAUAAAACAGGUGACAGUUGUUUGACUGUAGGAUAAUUGUUCAACAAAAUCUGCCUGGAAAGAUUUUAUUGGCUAUUGUUGUUCUGCUGGAAACCCACUGCUACAAAAGAACUCCUGCAGCUGGCACUCGUGGAAGCCUAGUCAUAGCAGAUCAAGGUGAACAGCCUGCCAAUUACUGGUUCAAGAUCCAGUGUAUCCUUGGGACACAAGGGUGGGCUGACACUGGUAAGGCAGCUCAAGCAGUACCCAUGGCCAAAGUGCUCCAGUCUCCAGAACUGUUCAACCGGAGAGACAUUUUACAGAUUUAAAAAAAAAA
Long non-coding RNA from Pipra filicauda (Wire-tailed manakin), 7792 nucleotides. RefSeq lists it as uncharacterized. The record is from RefSeq and is a predicted model, not a curated record. The transcript is spliced from 2 exons. Lineage: Eukaryota; Metazoa; Chordata; Aves; Passeriformes; Pipridae.